Molecule: ribosomal RNA, 253 nt
Filed under: uncultured bacterium
Lineage: Bacteria
Description: partial 16S ribosomal RNA
Rfam family: Bacterial small subunit ribosomal RNA
Source: RNAcentral
UACGGGGGGGGCAAGCGUUGUUCGGAAUUACUGGGCGUAAAGGGCUCGUAGGCGGCCAACUAAGUCGGAUGUGAAAUCCCCAGGCUCAACUUGGGAACUGCAUCCGAUACUGGAUGGCUUGAAUCCGGGAGAGGGAUGCAGAAUUCCAGGUGUAGCGGUGAAAUGCGUAGAUAUCUGGAGGAACACCGGUGGCGAAGGCGGCAUCCUGGACCAACACUGACACUGAUGAGCGAAAGCCAGGGGAGCAAACGGG